GCCAGGGUAGCUCAGUUGGAUAGAGCGGCGGUUUCGUAAACCGCAGGUCAAGGGUUCAAAUCCCUUCCCUGGCU
RNAcentral lists this transfer RNA (74 nucleotides) under Elusimicrobiota bacterium. Its description in RNAcentral is "Elusimicrobia bacterium (anaerobic digester metagenome) tRNA-Thr". It matches the Rfam family "tRNA". Rfam says of the family: Transfer RNA (tRNA) molecules are approximately 80 nucleotides in length. Their secondary structure includes four short double-helical elements and three loops (D, anti-codon, and T loops). Further hydrogen bonds mediate the characteristic L-shaped molecular structure. tRNAs have two regions of fundamental functional importance: the anti-codon, which is responsible for specific mRNA codon recognition, and the 3' end, to which the tRNAs corresponding amino acid is attached (by aminoacyl-tRNA synthetases). tRNAs cope with the degeneracy of the genetic code in two manners: having more than one tRNA (with a specific anti-codon) for a particular amino acid; and 'wobble' base-pairing, i.e. permitting non-standard base-pairing at the 3rd anti-codon position. Lineage: Bacteria; Pseudomonadati; Elusimicrobiota. The record is from RNAcentral.